AUGAACGCUGGCGGCGUGGAUAAGGCAUGCAAGUCGAACGGGAUGUAGCAAUACAUCUAGUGGCGAACGAGGUAGUAACACGUAGAUACGUGCCCAAAAGCUGGGAAUAAUCCAUCGAAAGGUGGACUAAUACCCAAUGGUCCCUCACGGGUAAAGAGGCAACUCACUUUUGGAUCGGUCUGCGGGCUAUCAGCUAGUUGGCGGGGUAAAGGCCCACCAAGGCGAUGACGGCUAGGGGAUGUGAGAGCAUGUUCCCCACCGAUGGGACUGAGACACGGCCCAUACACCUACGGGUGGCUGCAGUCGAGAAUCUUCCACAAUGGACGAAAGUCUGAUGGAGCGACGCCGCGUGAAUGAUGAAGCACUUCGGUGCGUAAAGUUCUUUUAUGGAGGAAAAAUUUUAUGAUAUUACUCCAAGAAUAAGGGGUUGCAAAACUCGU
Molecule: ribosomal RNA, 440 nt
Filed under: uncultured bacterium
Lineage: Bacteria
Description: bacterial SSU rRNA
Rfam family: Bacterial small subunit ribosomal RNA
Source: RNAcentral